UACGGAGGAUCCGAGCGUUAUCCGGAUUUAUUGGGUUUAAAGGGAGCGUAGGCGGAGGAUCAAGUCAGUUGUGAAAUGUAGACGCUCAACGUCUGCACUGCAGUUGAAACUGGUUCCCUUGAGUGCGUAAGAGGCAGGCGGAAUUCGUCGUGUAGCGGUGAAUUGCUUAGAUAUGACGAAGAACUCCGAUCGCGAAGGCAGCUCGCCGGGCCGCAACUGACGCUGAAGCUCGAAGGUGCGGGUAUCGAAC
This 250-nucleotide ribosomal RNA is filed under the name uncultured prokaryote. Its description in RNAcentral is "partial 16S ribosomal RNA". It matches the Rfam family "Bacterial small subunit ribosomal RNA", at positions 524 to 773 of the family's 1533-position model. The record is from RNAcentral.